RNAcentral lists this ribosomal RNA (102 nucleotides) under Ancylostoma ceylanicum. The record is from RNAcentral. Lineage: Eukaryota; Metazoa; Nematoda; Chromadorea; Rhabditida; Ancylostomatidae.
ACGGCCAUACCACGUUGAAAGCACGCCAUCCCGUCCGAUCUGGCAAGUUAAGCAACGUUGGGCCUGGUUAGUACUUGGAUCGGAGACGGCUUGGGAAUCCCA